This 404-nucleotide ribosomal RNA is filed under the name Biomphalaria straminea. RNAcentral describes it as "partial 16S ribosomal RNA". It matches the Rfam family "Bacterial large subunit ribosomal RNA", at positions 1911 to 2609 of the family's 2925-position model. Lineage: Eukaryota; Metazoa; Mollusca; Gastropoda; Planorbidae. The record is from RNAcentral.
AGUGAUUUUUUUUUAAAUGGCCGCAGUACCUUGACUGUGCUAAGGUAGCAUAAUCAAUUGGCUUCUAAUUAAAGUCUGGAAUGAAAGGAAAUAUGAAGUAAUUCUAUCUUAAAGGAUUUUUUUUGAAUUUAUUCAAAUGAUGAAAAUAUCAUUUUGUAGAAAAAAGACGAGAAGACCCUUAGAGUUUUGAUUUUUUUUAUAUUUUUGUUGGGGCGACAGGUAAACAACUAAACUUUACGAAUUUAUUAUUGAUCGAUUUUUUAUAAGAAUAAUAAAACUACCUUAGGGAUAACAGCAUUAUAUUUUUUUUAUGAUUGUGACCUCGAUGUUGGACUAGGAACUUUAUGGCUAGCCGUCAAAAAAGAUUUGUUCUGUUCGAACAAUUUUAUCCUACAUGAUCUGAG